This 492-nucleotide ribosomal RNA is filed under the name uncultured bacterium. RNAcentral's name for it is "partial 16S ribosomal RNA". It matches the Rfam family "Bacterial small subunit ribosomal RNA", at positions 29 to 507 of the family's 1533-position model. The record is from RNAcentral.
AGUGAACGCUGGCGGUAGGCCUAACACAUGCAAGUCGAACGGCAGCACAGUAAGAGCUUGCUCUUACGGGUGGCGAGUGGCGGACGGGUGAGGAAUACAUAGGCAUCUACUUUUUCGUGGGUGAUAACGUAGGGAAACUUACGCUACUACCGCAUACGACCUACGGGUGAAAGCAGUGGAUCUUCGGACCUUGCGCGAUUGAAUGAGCCGAUGUCGGAUUAGCUAGUUGGCGGGGUAAAGGCCCACCAAGGCGACGAUCCGUAGCUGGUCUGAGAGGAUGAUCAGCCACACUGGAACUGAGACACGGUCCAGACUCCUACGGGAGGCAGCAGUGGGGAAUAUUGGACAAUGGGCGCAAGCCUGAUCCAGCCACACCGCGUGGGUGAAGAAGGCCUUCGGGUUGUAAAGCCCUUUUGUUGGGAAAGAAAAGCAGUAGGUUAAUACCCCGCUGUUCUGACGGUACCCAAAGAAUAAGCACCGGCUAACUUCGUG